UUCUAAGUAGACUGCGAGCCCUG
RNAcentral lists this non-coding RNA (23 nucleotides) under Cricetulus griseus (Chinese hamster). The record is from RNAcentral. Lineage: Eukaryota; Metazoa; Chordata; Mammalia; Rodentia; Cricetidae.